This 253-nucleotide ribosomal RNA is filed under the name uncultured Rikenellaceae bacterium. RNAcentral's name for it is "partial 16S ribosomal RNA". It matches the Rfam family "Bacterial small subunit ribosomal RNA", at positions 524 to 776 of the family's 1533-position model. Lineage: Bacteria; Pseudomonadati; Bacteroidota; Bacteroidia; Bacteroidales; Rikenellaceae. The record is from RNAcentral.
UACGUAGGGGGCAAGCGUUAUCCGGAUUUAUUGGGUUUAAAGGGUGCGUAGGCGGCAGAUUAAGUUAGAGGUGAAAUUCCGAGGCUCAACCUUGGCACUGCCUCUGAUACUGGUUUGCUAGCGAGUAGAUGCUGUAGGCGGAAUGUGUGGUGUAGCGGUGAAAUGCAUAGAUAUCACGCAGAACUCCGAUUGCGAAGGCAGCAUACCGGCGCUCAACUGACGCUCAUGCACGAAAGCGUGGGUAUCGAACAGG